Molecule: transfer RNA, 72 nt
Filed under: Balaena mysticetus (bowhead whale)
Lineage: Eukaryota; Metazoa; Chordata; Mammalia; Artiodactyla; Balaenidae
Description: tRNA-Thr
Source: RNAcentral
GUCUUUGUAGUAUAAUUGAAUAYCCCGGCCUUGUAAACCGGAAAAGGAGACAAACCACAUCUCCCUAAGACU